Molecule: ribosomal RNA, 338 nt
Filed under: uncultured Sphingobacteriales bacterium
Lineage: Bacteria; Pseudomonadati; Bacteroidota; Sphingobacteriia; Sphingobacteriales
Description: bacterial SSU rRNA
Rfam family: Bacterial small subunit ribosomal RNA
Source: RNAcentral
GGUUGUCGUCAGCUCGUGCCGUGAGGUGUCGGGUUAAGUACCCAUAACGAGCGCCAACCCUUACCGUUAGUUACCAUCAGGUUAAGCUGGGGACUCUAGCGGGACUGCCACCGUAAGGUGAGAGGAAGGUGGGGAUGACGUCAAAUCAGCACGGCCCUUAUGUCCAGGGCUACACACGUGUUACAAUGGCCGGUACAAAGGGCAGCUACUUCGCGAGAAGAUGCUAAUCUCGAAAGCCGGUCUCAGUUCGGAUCGAAGUCUGCAACCCGACUUCGUGAAGCUGGAUUCGCUAGUAAUCGCGCAUCAGCCAUGGCGCGGUGAAUACGUUCCCGGGCCUU